Molecule: non-coding RNA, 99 nt
Organism: Acanthosepion pharaonis
Lineage: Eukaryota; Metazoa; Mollusca; Cephalopoda; Sepiida; Sepiidae
Source: the annotation of a GenBank genome assembly
AUAGAAGUACUGGUCCCCGUUCGAUCACUGAAGUUAAUCAGCGUCGUGCCUGACCAGUAGUUUGAUGAUGAACCGACUGGGAACACUAAGUACUGUCAG